AUGAGUUGUGUCUGGGUUACUGUUGCUAGGUAGAUAUAAAAUUAGCAUGCCACACCCAGACAUUUCUGGACUUGGGUGUGGUGGUCUGGGCAUGCUCACUAGGUUCCCCACAGCUGGACUCAGAAUCCACUGAGGUCCGUUACUCAGAAGAAUACUACUUGACUCCCUGUAAACAGGUUGGAUGCAGUUAAGUACUGUAACUGUAUGUAACAAUUGGAUGAAUUACCUUGAGAUUAAAUGACUGAACUGGAGAAACUGUAUACUCCUGGUUUUAAGAUUCUUGUCUGGGAAUUCCUGUAGAUCCUGAUCCAGAGUCCCUUGAAGUUAAAGGAAAGAAUAUAUUUUAUUUCAAUAGGCUUUUAAUCAGACAUGUAAUGACAAAAGUAUCCUGAGACUUAUU
Molecule: non-coding RNA, 400 nt
Organism: Pelodiscus sinensis (Chinese soft-shelled turtle)
Lineage: Eukaryota; Metazoa; Chordata; Testudines; Trionychidae
Source: RefSeq, a predicted model, not a curated record